This 405-nucleotide ribosomal RNA is filed under the name uncultured bacterium. RNAcentral's name for it is "bacterial SSU rRNA". It matches the Rfam family "Bacterial small subunit ribosomal RNA", at positions 29 to 412 of the family's 1533-position model. The record is from RNAcentral.
AGCGAACGCUGGCGGCGUGCUUAACACAUGCAAGUCGAGCGAAGGUGUUUCAAGGGUAACCUUGAGAUACACUUAGCGGCGGACGGGUGAGUAAUACGUGGAUAACUUACCUCUAGGCCUGGGAUAACCCCGGGAAACUGGGGCUAAUACCUGAUAAGACCACAUUGUCUACGGACAAAGGGGUAAAAGGUGGCUGUGCAAACAGCUAUCGCCAAAAGAUAGGUUCACGUCCCAUCAGGCAGUGGUGAGGUAAUGGCUCACCAAACCAAAGACGGGUAGCCGGCCUUGGCGGGUGAACGGCCACACGGGGACUGAGACACGGCCCCGACUCCUACGGGAGGCAGCAGUGGGGAAUAUUGGGCAAUGGGCGCAAGCCUGACCCAGCGACGCCGCGUUGGGGAAGAA